UUUUGAAACAAAACACUGAAAAAUAACAUAAUUUUGGUUUAUACAGAAUUUAUGAAAGUAUAUGCAUCUUUCUUUUCUUGUUCAAAAAGCCUGUAUUGUAUGAUGAUGUAUUCAGGCACACAUACAGUAUGUAUAUGACUGGGAUGUUCUGUUGGGUUUAAUUGUUGGCAUAUCUUUGUUGAUUAGCCUGAGUAAACCUAAUUUAAGACCAGACAGAGCAAAUAAUUUACUAUGAAUAAUUUAUUUGAUAAAUUUAGUCAUAUUUUCAUCUCUUGUCAUAUUUAUGAGCAGAUUGCAAAGUAGCUUUUUUCCCUACUGUAUGACUUCAUUAUUGAUAUUCAAAAUCUGCAUUGUACUCAUCAGUUGUGAUUGGCUGGAGAAUUCAUAUGUUGUUGUACCUGUUAUUUUAUCUUUGGAGCUAAGGCUGCAAAGUUUUGAGUGAUCAUUCUGGUUUCUGUCCAACAUAGUGUCUGUCUUCAAAGGUGACUGAUGGGGACCGUCCCUUGAGGAUCUGGGCUAAUGCGCCUUACUUUCAAGCACGCAUGUUCCUGCUGAGCUCCAGAGCAUCCAGCAUCUCCAAAGAAUGAACCAAGAACACUAAAAUUUUCUAUCAGACAGACUUCUUUCCAGGGGAAAGAAAAUAACAGGUGAAGAAAAAGAACACUGUGGUUCCUAAGAGAGAAUAGGGCAUCAAGAUAUCCUUCAGAAAUUAAUCUUGCUAGAUUAUUGCUCUGCAGGUAUAAAUAUGGGGGCCUGUUUAUAAGUUAUCUAGAGGGAGCGACUAAAAGAAACAAGCAGAAGACACAGAUGGUCAACAAGGACAUAAAUUAGCUCAGACCGAUAAGAACACUGCAAACUUGCAAGACCAUCACAUUCUAGACAAAAGGUGAAAAGUACACCAUGAGGAAGACCUACGGCCUUCCUCCCAAAGACCACUGCCCACGUCCCGGAGACCCCUGCCCAGAAUUUUUGGAAGAAUUUGCGCAAGCGUGAAGGACUGAUAAGCUAAUUAACAUAUGAAGCAAGAGUAUGUUAAUGAUUUUCGGGAAAUACUAUGUUUAUGCAUGAAUACUUAAUGAAUAUGUAUGAAUAAGUUCUAUAUGAGGUGUAUGAUUUUGAAGCUUGGUGUGUGUCGAUCGUGAGAGGACUCACUCACGCACCCAGCCGUCAAUAAAGAAGUGUCUGCUUAUCUACAUCACAUUGGUGUUGAUAAGUUUUUCA
Long non-coding RNA from Falco peregrinus (peregrine falcon), 1221 nucleotides. RefSeq lists it as uncharacterized. Lineage: Eukaryota; Metazoa; Chordata; Aves; Falconiformes; Falconidae. The transcript has 3 exons. The record is from RefSeq and is a predicted model, not a curated record.